CCUACGGGGGACUGCAGUAGGGAAUCUUUCACAAUGGGCGAAAGCCUGAUGGCGCAACGCCGCGUGCAGGAUGAAGGCCUUCGGGUUGUAAACUGCUUUUAUAAGCGAGAAAUAUGAUGGUAACUUAUGAAUAAGGAUCGGCUAACUACGUGCCAGCAGCCGCGGUCAUACGUAGGAUCCGAGCAUUAUCCGGAGUGACUGGGUGUAAAGAGUUGCGUAGGUGGCAUAAUAAGUAGCUAGUGAAAUCUGGUGGCUCAACCAUUCAGACUAUUAGCUAAACUGUUAAGCUCGAGACCGUUAGGGGUAACUGGAAUUUCUAGUGUAGGAGUGAAAUCCGUAGAUAUUAGAAGGAACACCAAUAGCGUAGGCAGGUUGCUGGGACGGUUCUGACACUAAGGCACGAAAGCGUAGGGAGCAAACGGGAUUAGAUACCCGAGUAGUC
This 442-nucleotide ribosomal RNA is filed under the name uncultured bacterium. Its description in RNAcentral is "partial 16S ribosomal RNA". It matches the Rfam family "Bacterial small subunit ribosomal RNA", at positions 338 to 795 of the family's 1533-position model. The record is from RNAcentral.